GUUCCCCCUGAGGAGCUGGAAGAAGUGGCUGGGGAAAGGGAAGUCUGGGCCUCCCUUCUGAAGCUGCUGCCCCCGCCACUCAACCCUGGAUGAAGUGGACGGAUGGACGGAUGGAUGGAUGGACGGACGGAUUACAGACCCAUCAACCUGGAAGUUCAGAAGGCUUCAUUGAUAUCCAGCCUAUCUUUUGCAUGGCCAAGAAAAGAAAGGAGCAGCCAUCUUCUCAACAACAUGAAUUUUCUCUCUUAAGACAGACAAGAUGAUAUAGCCGUGGAACUGCUGCCAGUACUCCUCCCUGUUCCACCUUACACAUUUGGGAGAAGAGUUUCAGACCCAUCAACCUGGAAGUUCAGAUGGUUUMAUUGAUAUCCAGCCUUUGGAACAAACCCGGUGGCACAUCUAUGAAAUGCGACAACCCAUAUGUCUUCAUGCAUGGAGACAGGCAAAAAUGCUAAAGUGUCAUUAAAAAUGAUCCUUUUUUAAUGGCUGAAAGUUUUACUUGUAGUUUGCUUUAAAACAGACUUUUUACAUGAAAUGUUUUCUAGUGUGUAGUAACAGAUACUUCUGGAGUUGUAACCAAAUGAGUUGAAGUGAUUUAACUAUAUACUUUUGAAACAACUUAUGUUUUGUAACUUUUGUAAAUGAAAUCUGCUGGCUCUAUAUAUGUAUCACGUGGAAAUAAAAGAGGCUUUAAAUUCAGAUUGUUUUUAAUCCUGUUUUUAUAUAGUGAAAUUUAAAUGUUUUAUUUUUUUUAAACCCACUAUAGUGGUAUAAUAACCCUUAUGUUGUGUUAUGAGUUUCAACCCAAUUUUGGGUCAAUUUAACCAAUUUAACCAAGUCAAUUUAACCCAACCUUUAGAUGGUUGCCAUAACCCAACUAACAUGGGUUAUGGCACUGAGGUGCUGGGUCAAACCCUCAAUC
Poecilia reticulata (guppy) is the source of this 922-nucleotide long non-coding RNA. RefSeq lists it as uncharacterized. The record is from RefSeq and is a predicted model, not a curated record. Lineage: Eukaryota; Metazoa; Chordata; Actinopteri; Cyprinodontiformes; Poeciliidae.